Molecule: long non-coding RNA, 1102 nt
Filed under: Ursus maritimus (polar bear)
Lineage: Eukaryota; Metazoa; Chordata; Mammalia; Carnivora; Ursidae
Description: lncRNA (ENSUMAG00000023077.1)
Source: RNAcentral
ACCUCCUGGCCACACUGAUUAAGACUGCACCCCCCUCCGACGCGCCAGCACUACCCUCUCUCCGAAGCACGCCUCACGCUCUGGAACUCCCUUAGGGCUGGCCUUAUCGUCCAUCUCCCUCGUUAGCACACACGCUCGUGAGACGGGAUUCACAUCUGCUCCCAGGACUGUCACGGCACCCGGCACCUGACGGGUGAUUCUGAGGCUCCUUCAAAUUCACUGAGCCGUGGGGCAGCACUGGCUACUAGGACUUUCUGUGACGAUGAAACGGAUCUACGCUCGCCCUGCCAGAUGCCACAGACACAACCCACAUUGGACGAACACUUGAAAUGUGGUGAGUAUGAUUCGAAAGAGGGAUUUUUAAUUUUUACUUUUAUUUAACUUUAGUUCAUUUAAAUUUAAAUAACCACAGGUAGCCAGUGGUUUCCAUCUGUCAGCGCAGGUCUAGAGUGACCCAGCUCAGAGGGCCCGUAGAGGUUGGCAUUGUGUAGACGGGGAAAAGGUUCAGAGAGAGAUCAGAAUGUGAAUCAGGGACAGGGUGGGACCAGAGUCUCUGGGCUCUGAGGCCAAUGUUUUCUCCUCCGCAUAGCACUGCCACCACGACCCCAGGCCCUGACCCUGCCUCUCUCUCCACCCGGCCCUGGAUGCUAUCGCUCUGUAGACAGAGGGCUCCCUGGAAUCUCAGAAGGCAGCCAGGUGUGAACACUAAGCUUGGCGGUACAGGAGCCUAGCGAUGUGUCCACAACCAGUCCCGGCUGGAGCUGUAGAGAUGGGCCCGCUGGGAAUGGACACAGGGCAGGCUGUGCCCCACCAUGGACAAGCAGCCUACGACACACUAGAGCACACGGUGGACUUCGACUGGGGACCACAGUCAGCAUUCACCACUCGCAUUCGAACUGGCCUGGGUACGCUACAGCUGAGAAGCCCGUGGGUGGUCCUUUAUCUUCGCCGGCCUUGCUUCCAUCAACUGAAUUGGAGGGAACACCGCCUCCUGAGUGGUGAGGCAGCACAGAAGACGAUCAGGAAUUUAAAUGGAAUCUUCCAGGCUUAUCCUGUACAACACACCAUGUACCCACCCCGGCCCACUUGCCCUUCCUUUCCU